AAUAAGUACAUUAAUUUUAACCAGUAACAGAACUCGUGAAACGGAACAACUUUUUUAUCUAGCAUUUUUUCGAAAACUCAAGUCGAAUUUCGAAUUUUCCCACCCAUAUAUUCACGAGCCGUCUAUGUUCACCUUAAAUAAUAACUUAAAUAAUAACAACACUACAACAAUGAAGAAGGUACCCUAGCAAUCGUUUUGACACUGACAAUCAUUUUUAUGUCAAUGUUUUUACUAAACGUUGUCUCUUUAAAGUUUGUUUGGCACAGAUUUCUAAUUUAUAAACGAAAUGUGUUGAAAUGGCUUUGUUUUCAAAUGUGGAAUGCACCGAUAUCGUUUUAACGUACGGUGAAGCUCGGGGAAACGGCACUCGCGCCCAACGAAUUUUUUCAGAAAACCUCCCAAAUCGUCGUCUGCCAAAUGUGCGCAGUUUUAAGAACGUUGCAGCAUUUUCGAGAGUACGGAUCUUUUAAACCUGCACCUUAGGAUCGGGUGUCGAAGCUCGACCGGGCACUAGCACGUAUCACUGUCUAGUGUGAUGUAUCGGAGAGUAGUAUUUGGAGGAUACUCAGAGAACAAAUGUACCCCUUUCAGGACCAGAAAGUUCAGUUAUUGAAACUAUCAGACUUACCACGUAGGCAAAACUUUUGUGAGUGGGUUAAUAGAAAAAUAAACGAACAAGCAAA
Molecule: long non-coding RNA, 683 nt
Organism: Zophobas morio
Lineage: Eukaryota; Metazoa; Arthropoda; Insecta; Coleoptera; Tenebrionidae
Exons: 2
Source: RefSeq, a predicted model, not a curated record